GAUGAAGGACGCAGCGAAAUGCGAUAAGUAAUGUGAAUUGCAGAAUUCAGUGAAUCAUCGAGUUUUUGAACGCAUAUUGCGCCCUCUGGUAUUCCGGGGGGCAUGCCUGUUCGAGCGUCAUUAAAUAACCCUCAAGCAUAGCUUGGUGUUGGGCUUUUUUACGUCCUUGACUGGGAUGGGCCUAAAAAUUAGUGGCGAUGGCUUUUUUACUUUCAAGCGUAGUAAAUCUCGUCUUGCUAAAGAGGAAAAAGAUUUUUUUUCUGCCAAAAAUUUUAACAAUUAAAGUUGACCUCGGAUCAGGUAGGAUUACCCGCUGAACUUAAGCAUAUCAAUAAGCGGAGGA
Molecule: unclassified non-coding RNA, 343 nt
Filed under: soil metagenome
Description: partial contains 5.8S ribosomal RNA, internal transcribed spacer 2, and large subunit ribosomal RNA
Rfam family: 5.8S ribosomal RNA (bases 1-120)
Source: RNAcentral